Molecule: transfer RNA, 75 nt
Filed under: Caudoviricetes sp.
Lineage: Duplodnaviria; Heunggongvirae; Uroviricota; Caudoviricetes
Description: tRNA-Ile
Rfam family: tRNA
About the family: Transfer RNA (tRNA) molecules are approximately 80 nucleotides in length. Their secondary structure includes four short double-helical elements and three loops (D, anti-codon, and T loops).
Source: RNAcentral
GGCAGAGUAUAGCAUUGGUAGCUUACCAGUCUUAUUAGCUGGAGGUAGGUGGUUCGAUUCCGCCCUCUGCAACCA